GAUGAACGCUAGCUACAGGCUUAACACAUGCAAGUCGAGGGGUAACGAGAGGAAAGCUUGCUUUCCUUGUCGACGACCGGCGCACGGGUGAGUAACGCGUAUCCAACCUGCCCCCAACUAGGGAAUAACCUUGCGAAAGUAAGACUAAUACCCUAUAAUUUCCUCAGAUGACAUCUGACGAGGAAUAAAGAUUUAUCGGUUGUGGAUGGGGAUGCGUCUGAUUAGCUUGUUGGCGGGGUAACGGCCCACCAAGGCAACGAUCAGUAGGGGUUCUGAGAGGAAGGUCCCCCAGAGUGGAACUGAGACACGGUCCAAACUCCUACGGGAGGCAGCAGUGAGGAAUAUUGGUCAAUGGGCGGAAGCCUGAACCAGCCAAGUAGCGUGCAGGAUGACGGCCCUAUGGGUUGUAAACUGCUUUUAUACAGGAAUAAAGUUAGCCACGUGUGGUUAUUUGUAGGUACUGUAUGAAUAAGGACCGGCUAAUUCCGUGCCAGCCGCCGCUGUAA
This 506-nucleotide ribosomal RNA is filed under the name uncultured bacterium. RNAcentral's name for it is "partial 16S ribosomal RNA". It matches the Rfam family "Bacterial small subunit ribosomal RNA", at positions 28 to 523 of the family's 1533-position model. The record is from RNAcentral.